CCUACGGGAGGCAGCAGUGGGGGAUAUUGCACAAUGGGGGAAACCCUGAUGCAGCGACGCCGCGUGGGCGAAGAAGUAUUUCGGUAUGUAAAGCCCUAUUAGCAGGGAAGAAGAACUGACGGUACCUGAGUAAGACGCACCGGCUAAAUACGUGCCAGCAGCCGCGGUAAUACGGAUGGGGCAAGCGUUAUCCGGAUUUACUGGGUGUAAUGGGCGCGCAGGCGGGACGGCAAGGGUGAUGUGAAAGCCCGGGGCCCAACCGGGGGACUGCAUUGGGAACUGCCGGGCUGGAGUGCGGGAGAGGUAGGCGGAAUUCCGAGUGUAGCGGUGAAAUGCGUAGAUAUAAGGAGGAACACCAGUGGCGAAGGCGGCCUACUGGACGGUGACUGACGCUGAGGCUCGAAAGCGUGGGGAGCAAACAGGAUUAGAUACCCUAGUAGUC
This 442-nucleotide ribosomal RNA is filed under the name uncultured bacterium. RNAcentral describes it as "partial 16S ribosomal RNA". It matches the Rfam family "Bacterial small subunit ribosomal RNA", at positions 338 to 795 of the family's 1533-position model. The record is from RNAcentral.